UACGAAGGGGGCUAGCGUUGCUCGGAAUCACUGGGCGUAAAGCGCACGUAGGCGGAUUUUUAAGUCAGGGGUGAAAUCCUGGAGCUCAACUCCAGAACUGCCUUUGAUACUGGCGAUCUCGAGUCCGGGAGAGGUGAGUGGAACUGCGAGUGUAGAGGUGAAAUUCGUAGAUAUUCGCAAGAACACCAGUGGCGAAGGCGGCUCACUGGCCCGGUACUGACGCUGAGGUGCGAAAGCGUGGGGAGCAAACAGG
This 253-nucleotide ribosomal RNA is filed under the name uncultured bacterium. RNAcentral's name for it is "partial 16S ribosomal RNA". It matches the Rfam family "Bacterial small subunit ribosomal RNA", at positions 524 to 776 of the family's 1533-position model. The record is from RNAcentral.